GACGAACGCUGGCGGCGUGCUUAACACAUGCAAGUCGAACGGAAAGGCCCUGCUUUUGUGGGGUGCUCGAGUGGCGAACGGGUGAGUAACACGUGAGUAACCUGCCCUUGACUUUGGGAUAACUUCAGGAAACUGGGGCUAAUACCGGAUAGGAGCUCCUGCUGCAUGGUGGGGGUUGGAAAGUUUCGGCGGUUGGGGAUGGACUCGCGGCUUAUCAGCUUGUUGGUGGGGUAGUGGCUUACCAAGGCUUUGACGGGUAGCCGGCCUGAGAGGGUGACCGGCGUCAUUGGGACUGAGAUACGGAGCAGACUGCUAUGGGAGGCAGCAGUCGGAAAUAUUGCAGAAUGGGCGCAAGCGUGAUGCAGCGACGUUGCGUGCGGGAUGACGGCCUUCGGGUUGUAAACCGCUUUCGCCUGUGACGAAGCGUGAGUGACGGUAAUGGGUAAAGAAGCACCGGCUAACUACGUG
RNAcentral lists this ribosomal RNA (468 nucleotides) under uncultured bacterium. RNAcentral's name for it is "partial 16S ribosomal RNA". It matches the Rfam family "Bacterial small subunit ribosomal RNA", at positions 28 to 507 of the family's 1533-position model. The record is from RNAcentral.